Molecule: ribosomal RNA, 269 nt
Filed under: uncultured bacterium
Lineage: Bacteria
Description: partial 16S ribosomal RNA
Rfam family: Bacterial small subunit ribosomal RNA
Source: RNAcentral
CCGGCGACCGGCGCACGGGUGAGUAACACGUAUGCAACCUGGCCGUGACAGAUGGAUAACCGGGAGAAAUCCCGCCUAAUACAGCAUGACGCCGGGAAGGGACAUCCCUUUCCGGCCAAAGGGGGCGACUCCGGUCACGGAUGGGCAUGCGGCGCAUUAGGUAGUUGGUGGGGCAACGGCCCACCAAGCCGACGAUGCGUAGGGGUUCUGAGAGGAGGUCCCCCACAUUGGAACUGAGACACGGUCCAAACUCCUACGGGAGGCAGCAG